This 484-nucleotide ribosomal RNA is filed under the name uncultured bacterium. Its description in RNAcentral is "partial 16S ribosomal RNA". It matches the Rfam family "Bacterial small subunit ribosomal RNA", at positions 30 to 507 of the family's 1533-position model. The record is from RNAcentral.
AUUGAACGCUGGCGGCAGGCCUAACACAUGCAAGUCGAGCGGAUGAAGGGAGCUUGCUCCUGGAUUCAGCGGCGGACGGGUGAGUAAUGCCUAGGAAUCUGCCUGGUAGUGGGGGAUAACGUCCGGAAACGGGCGCUAAUACCGCAUACGUCCUGAGGGAGAAAGUGGGGGAUCUUCGGACCUCACGCUAUCAGAUGAGCCUAGGUCGGAUUAGCUAGUUGGUGGGGUAAAGGCCUACCAAGGCGACGAUCCGUAACUGGUCUGAGAGGAUGAUCAGUCACACUGGAACUGAGACACGGUCCAGACUCCUACGGGAGGCAGCAGUGGGGAAUAUUGGACAAUGGGCGAAAGCCUGAUCCAGCCAUGCCGCGUAUGUGAAGAAGGUCUUCGGAUUGUAAAGCACUUUAAGAUGGGAGGAAGGGCAGUAAGUUAAUACCUUGCUGUUUUGACGUUACCAACAGAAUAAGCACCGGCUAACUUCGUG